Molecule: long non-coding RNA, 593 nt
Organism: Orcinus orca (killer whale)
Lineage: Eukaryota; Metazoa; Chordata; Mammalia; Artiodactyla; Delphinidae
Exons: 3
Source: RefSeq, a predicted model, not a curated record
UCUUUUCGGCUGUGUUCCUUGCUGAACGGUCUCUUUCGGAUGUCCUGUGAGGGUCGGGAAAACAGGCAAAGAAGAGUGCGUGUCUGACCUGACCUGGAGGCUGCACUUCCUUCCACCAACUUUACAACCUUGAAACUUGGGGGCUAUUUCAGGGCAGCCAUUGAAACCUGAGGUAUUUCUACUUGAUAAGAAGCCUGAACAGCAUGCAAAACACUCAAGGUAAUUGUCUACAGUUCCUUCAGACAUCCGAUUACAGCUGUCAAACCUUAGAUUUUCAUCAUGUUUUACAAGUAAAACCCUCAUCCAAACCAAUGCAAUGUGAUUAAAGUAGGAUACAUUAAUACUAUUGCUUCCUUUUUUCUAGAUCUUUUAACUAUUAAAAUGCAACUAUUUCUGCAACCAAAGUCAUAUCACCCUGUUGGGAUCAGAAUAGUUAAGUUCUAUUGCUAUUUCUUCCUCAAUUCAACUAUAAAGCCAGGUUUUACUCAUCCUGGACUCACAUAAUGUGUUGUGUUAGCACUUAAGGGCAGGACUUCACAUUUAUGAGUAUUCAAUCUUAGGAUUUUUCAGCCUGUUGAGAUUUUUGAAUUGUC